This 65-nucleotide transfer RNA is filed under the name Dipodomys ordii (Ord's kangaroo rat). It matches the Rfam family "tRNA". Rfam says of the family: Transfer RNA (tRNA) molecules are approximately 80 nucleotides in length. Their secondary structure includes four short double-helical elements and three loops (D, anti-codon, and T loops). The record is from Rfam by way of RNAcentral. Lineage: Eukaryota; Metazoa; Chordata; Mammalia; Rodentia; Heteromyidae.
GGUGGCUUAGUGGUAGAGCACUUGCCUUGCAUCCAUGAGGCCCUGGGUUCAAUUCCUCAGCACCA